GCAUAUCAAUAAGCGGAGGAAAAGAAACUAACAAGGAUUCCCCUAGUAACGGCGAGCGAAGCGGGAAGAGCUCAAAUUUGAAAGCUGGCACCUCCGGUGUCCGCGUUGUAAUCUCGAGACGUGUUUUCCGUGCGGCUCUAUGGACAAGUCCCUUGGAAUAGGGCAUCGUAGAGGGUGAGAAUCCCGUACUUGCCAUGGAAGAACCGUGCUUUGCGAUACACGCUCUAAGAGUCGAGUUGUUUGGGAUUGCAGCUCAAAAUGGGUGGUAGACUCCAUCUAAAGCUAAAUAUCGGGGAGAGACCGAUAGCGAACAAGUACCGUGAGGGAAAGAUGAAAAGCACUUUGGAAAGAGAGUUAAAAGUACGUGAAAUUGUCGAAAGGGAAGCACUUGAAGUCAGCCAUGCUGCUUGAGACUCAGCCUGGCCUUUGGGCUUGGUGUAUUUCUCGGUGGCAAGCCAGCAUUGGUUUGGGUCGUCGGAGAAGCGCAUAGGGAAUGUAGCGUCUCCGGACGUGUUAUAGCCUUAUGCAGGAUCAGACGACCUGGAUCAAGGAACGCAGUGUGCCCUCUGGGCGGGUCUUCGGACACCUUCACACUUAGGAUGCUGGCGUAAUGGCUUUAAGUGGCCCGUCUUGAAACACGGACC
This 644-nucleotide ribosomal RNA is filed under the name Malassezia globosa. RNAcentral's name for it is "eukaryotic LSU rRNA". It matches the Rfam family "Eukaryotic large subunit ribosomal RNA", at positions 38 to 667 of the family's 3401-position model. The record is from RNAcentral. Lineage: Eukaryota; Fungi; Basidiomycota; Malasseziomycetes; Malasseziales; Malasseziaceae.